GUGACCUACGGGGCGCAGCAGUGGGGGAUAUUGCACAAUGGGGGGAACCCUGAUGCAGCGACGCCGCGUGGGUGAAGAAGCGCCUCGGCGCGUAAAGCCCUGUCAGCAGGGAAGAAAAAAGACGGUACCUGACUAAGAAGCCCCGGCUAACUACGUGCCAGCAGCCGCGGUAAUACGUAGGGGGCAAGCGUUAUCCGGAUUUACUGGGUGUAAAGGGAGCGUAGACGGCGCGGCAAGUCUGAAGUGAAAGGCAGGGGCUUAACCCCUGAACUGCUUUGGAAACUGCCAUGCUAGAGU
This 297-nucleotide ribosomal RNA is filed under the name uncultured bacterium. RNAcentral describes it as "partial 16S ribosomal RNA". It matches the Rfam family "Bacterial small subunit ribosomal RNA", at positions 334 to 647 of the family's 1533-position model. The record is from RNAcentral.